Molecule: ribosomal RNA, 729 nt
Filed under: uncultured Bacteroidales bacterium
Lineage: Bacteria; Pseudomonadati; Bacteroidota; Bacteroidia; Bacteroidales
Description: bacterial SSU rRNA
Rfam family: Bacterial small subunit ribosomal RNA
Source: RNAcentral
GCAAGUCGAGGGGCAGCAUGAUUGAAGCUUGCUUCAAUUGAUGGCGACCGGCGCACGGGUGAGUAACACGUAUCCAACCUGCCGAUAACUCGGGGAUAGCCUUUCGAAAGAAAGAUUAAUACCCGAUAGUAUAGUAUUUCCGCAUGGUUUCACUAUUAAAGAAUUUCGGUUAUCGAUGGGGAUGCGUUCCAUUAGAUAGUUGGCGGGGUAACGGCCCACCAAGUCAACGAUGGAUAGGGGUUCUGAGAGGAAGGUCCCCCACAUUGGAACUGAGACACGGUCCAAACUCCUACGGGAGGCAGCAGUGAGGAAUAUUGGUCAAUGGACGAGAGUCUGAACCAGCCAAGUAGCGUGAAGGAUGACUGCCCUAUGGGUUGUAAACUUCUUUUAUACGGGAAUAAAGUGGAGUAUGCAUACUCCUUUGUAUGUACCGUAUGAAUAAGGAUCGGCUAACUCCGUGCCAGCAGCCGCGGUAAUACGGAGGAUCCGAGCGUUAUCCGGAUUUAUUGGGUUUAAAGGGAGCGUAGGCGGGUGCUUAAGUCAGUUGUGAAAGUUCGCGGCUCAACCGUAAAAUUGCAGUUGAUACUGGGCGCCUUGAGUGCAGCAUAGGUAGGCGGAAUUCGUGGUGUAGCGGUGAAAUGCUUAGAUAUCACGAAGAACUCCGAUUGCGAAGGCAGCUUACUGGACUGUAACUGACGCUGAUGCUCGAAAGUGUGGGUAUCAAACAGG